CUCCAACAGUCGACCUUCCACAGUGUCCUCCAGAUUCCUCCAACGAACAAACUCCUAUCAUGCCAUCCGGACAUCUCCAAUAAUGAGCUCCUCCAUUCAUCUAUCGGACUACUCCAAAUGCUCUCUGGGCUUCACUAUCAGCCGACUUUCUACAGUGAUCAACUACUCUCAUAAUCUCUUCCAGACUUCUUCCAACCACGAUCGAUUUUAUUCUGAACUUCUUCCGGACUUCGUCAAUGUCCGAGCUUCUCUAGCAGUAGGACUCUACAGUAACCAGACUCUAUCCAAGUUUCUACGAUGGUCAACCAUCUUUUGAAUUUCAUUCGAGCUCCUACAAGAGCCGGACUCCGUCCAAACUUCUACAGUGGAUGGAUCCCAGACGAACUUCUACAACGGAUGGGCUCCACCAAUCGGAUCUCUACUCCGAACUUCUAUUGCAAGCAAACUUCAUUCGAGCUUCUACAAUAAGAAGUCUCCAUC
This 480-nucleotide long non-coding RNA is filed under the name Elaeis guineensis (African oil palm). RNAcentral's name for it is "long non-coding RNA (EGUI_LNC065629)". Lineage: Eukaryota; Viridiplantae; Streptophyta; Magnoliopsida; Arecales; Arecaceae. The record is from RNAcentral.